RNAcentral lists this ribosomal RNA (403 nucleotides) under uncultured bacterium. RNAcentral describes it as "bacterial SSU rRNA". It matches the Rfam family "Bacterial small subunit ribosomal RNA", at positions 362 to 760 of the family's 1533-position model. The record is from RNAcentral.
UAUUGGACAAUGGGCGAAAGCCUGAUCCAGCCAUGCCGCGUGUGUGAAGAAGGCCUUCGGGUUGUAAAGCACUUUCAGCGAGGAAGAACGCCUAGUGGUUAAUACCCAUUAGGAAAGACAUCACUCGCAGAAGAAGCACCGGCUAACUCCGUGCCAGCAGCCGCGGUAAUACGGAGGGUGCAAGCGUUAAUCGGAAUUACUGGGCGUAAAGCGCGCGUAGGUGGCUUGAUAAGCCGGUUGUGAAAGCCCCGGGCUCAACCUGGGAACGGCAUCCGGAACUGUCAAGCUAGAGUGCAGGAGAGGAAGGUAGAAUUCCCGGUGUAGCGGUGAAAUGCGUAGAGAUCGGGAGGAAUACCAGUGGCGAAGGCGGCCUUCUGGACUGACACUGACACUGAGUCGAAGC